GGUUCGAUCAUGGCUCAAGAUUGAACGCUGGCGGGAUGCUUUACAUGCAGGUCGAACGGCAGCACGGACUUCGGUCUGGUGGCGAGUGGCGAACAGGUGGUAAUGUAUCGGAACGUGCCUAGUAGCAGGGGGAUAACUACGCGAAAGCGUAGCUAAUGCCACAUACGCCCUUCGGGGAAAGCGAGACCUUCGGGCCUCACUUGCUAAUGGAAAACGACCGAUAUCGGAUUAGCUGGUUGGUGGGGAGUAACGGCUCACCAGGGGCGACGAUCCGUAGCUGGUUUGAGAGGACGACCAGCCACACUGGGACUGAGACACGGCCCAGCAGACUCCUGCACGGGAGGCAGCAGUGGGAAUUUUGGACAAUGGGGAAACCCUGAUCCAGCCAUCCCGCGUGCGAUGAAGGCCUUCGGGUUAUGCUUUUGGCAGGAAAGAAACGGCACGGGAUAAUACCCCGUGCAACUGACGGUACCUGCAGAUCAUACCAGCUAACUACAUUACCUGGCGAAAAGCCGCGAAGUAAUACGCCGGGGUACAAGCGUUAAUCGGAAUUACUGGGCGUAAAGCGUGCGCAGGCGGUUCGGAAGAAAGAUGUGAAAUCCAGAGCUUAACUUUGGAACUGCAUUUUUAACUACCGAGCUAGAGUGUGUCAGAGGAGGUGGAAUUCCGCGUGUAGCAGUGAAAUGCGUAGAUAUGCGGAGGAACACCGAUGGCGAAAACAGCCUCUGGGAUAACACUGACGCUCAUGCACGAAAGCGUGGGAGCAAACAGGAUUAGAUGCCCUGGUAGUCCACGCCUAAACGAUGUCAACUAGCUGUUGGGGGCCUUCGGGCCUUGGUAAUACCAGCUAACGCGUGAAGUUGACCGCCUGGGAAGUACGGUCGCAAGAUUAAAACUCAAGGAAUUGACGGGGACCCGCACAAGCGGUGGAUGAUGUGGAUUAAUUCGAUGCAACGCGAAAAACCUUACCUACCACCCUUGACAUGUCUGGAAUCCCGAAGAGAUUUGGGGAGUGCUCGCAAGAAACCGGAACACAGGUGCUGCAUGGCUGUCGUCAGCUCGUGUCGUGAGAUGUUGGGUUAAGUCACAACGAGAGCGCAACCCUUGUCGGUAGUUGCUGUGAAAGGGCACUCCUAAUGAGACUGCCGGUGACAAACCGGAGGGAAGGUGGAUGACGUCAAAUCACCAUGGCCCUUAUGGGUAGGGCUUCACACGUCAUACAAUGGUCGGGACAGAGGGUCGCCAGCCCGCGAGGGGGAGCCAAUCCAGAAGCCCGAUCGUAGUCCGGAUCGCAGUCUGCAACUCGACUGCGUGAAGAGUCGGAAUCGCUAGUAAUCGCGGAUCCAGCAUGUCGCGGUGGUCACGUUCCCGGGUCUUGUACACCGCCCGUCACACCAUGGGAGUGGGUUUUACCAGAAGUAGUUAGCCUAACCGUAAGGAGGGCGAUUUUCUGACAGGAUUCAUGACUGGGGUGAAGUCAUGCUCAGGUAG
Molecule: ribosomal RNA, 1491 nt
Filed under: uncultured Bordetella sp.
Lineage: Bacteria; Pseudomonadati; Pseudomonadota; Betaproteobacteria; Burkholderiales; Alcaligenaceae
Description: partial 16S-23S ribosomal RNA intergenic spacer
Rfam family: Bacterial small subunit ribosomal RNA
Source: RNAcentral